RNAcentral lists this ribosomal RNA (460 nucleotides) under uncultured bacterium. RNAcentral's name for it is "partial 16S ribosomal RNA". It matches the Rfam family "Bacterial small subunit ribosomal RNA", at positions 338 to 795 of the family's 1533-position model. The record is from RNAcentral.
CCUACGGGUGGCAGCAGUGAGGAAUAUUGGUCAAUGGCCUGAAGGCUGAACCCGCCACGCCGCGUGAGGGAGGAAGGCGCGGAGCGUCGCAGACCUCUUUUGCCGGGGGACAAAAGGCCGGCCUCGGCCGGUCCUGAGGGUACCCGGAGAAAAAGCAUCGGCUCACUCCGUGCCAGCAGCCGCGGUACUACGGAGGAUGCGAGCGUUGUCCGGAUUUCCUGGGUGUAAAGGGCGUGCAGCCGGGAAGACAAGUCAGAUGUGAAAUCCCGCGGCUCAACCGCUGAACUGCAGUUGAAACUGUUUUUCUUGAGUACCGGAGAGGUGAUCGGAAUUCCUUGUGUAGCGGUGAAAAGCGUAGGUAUAAGGAAGAACACCAGUGGCGAAGGCGGAUGACUGGACGGCAACUGACGGUGAGGCGCGAAAGCGUGGGGAGCAAACAGGAGUAGAUACCCGAGUAGUC